This 193-nucleotide ribosomal RNA is filed under the name uncultured bacterium. Its description in RNAcentral is "partial 16S ribosomal RNA". It matches the Rfam family "Bacterial small subunit ribosomal RNA", at positions 162 to 353 of the family's 1533-position model. The record is from RNAcentral.
GCUAAUACCGCAUAAGCGCACAGGAUUGCAUGAUCCGGUGUGAAAAACUCCGGUGGUAUGAGAUGGACCCGCGUCUGAUUAGCCAGUUGGCAGGGUAACGGCCUACCAAAGCGACGAUCAGUAGCCGACCUGAGAGGGCGACCGGCCACAUUGGGACUGAGACACGGCCCAAACUCCUACGGGAGGCAGCAUG